CGCCCGCCAGCGCGCCGGGCUGCAGCGCGCGCGCCGCCGCGAUCGACGCGCCGAUGUCGAAGGCGAGGGUCGUCGUGCCGUUCGCGUUGACGGUGCGCGUC
RNAcentral lists this transfer RNA (101 nucleotides) under Burkholderia sp. THE68. Its description in RNAcentral is "tRNA-Arg". Lineage: Bacteria; Pseudomonadati; Pseudomonadota; Betaproteobacteria; Burkholderiales; Burkholderiaceae. The record is from RNAcentral.